GAUGAAGAACGCAGCGAAAUGCGAUAAGUAAUGCGAAUUGCAGAAUUCAGUGAGUCAUCGAAUCUUUGAACGCACAUUGCGCCCUGUGGUAUUCCGCAGGGCAUGCCUGUUCGAGCGUCAUUUCAACCCUCAAGCCUCGCUUGGUGUUGGGCCCUGCCCGCCGCGGCCGGCCCUAAAGAUAGUGGCGGCGCCGCCUGGCCCUCAGCGUAGUACACCUCUCGCUCCAGGGUCCGGCGGCAGCCUGCCAGAACCCCCCAACUCUGUGGUUGACCUCGGAUCAGGUAGGGAUACCCGCUGAACUUAAGCAUAUCAAUAAGCGGAGGA
This 324-nucleotide unclassified non-coding RNA is filed under the name soil metagenome. Its description in RNAcentral is "partial contains 5.8S ribosomal RNA, internal transcribed spacer 2, and large subunit ribosomal RNA". The stretch from base 1 to 120 matches the Rfam family "5.8S ribosomal RNA", at positions 35 to 154 of the family's 154-position model. The record is from RNAcentral.